GACGAACGCUGGCGGCGUGCUUAACACAUGCAAGUCGAACGGAAAGGCCCUGCUUUUUUGGGGUGCUCGAGUGGCGAACGGGUGAGUAACACGUGAGUAACCUGCCCUUGACUUUGGGAUAACUUCAGGAAACUGGGGCUAAUACCGGAUAGGAGCUCCUGCUGCAUGGUGGGGGUUGGAAAGUUUCGGCGGUUGGGGAUGGACUGGCGGCUUAUCAGCUUGUUGGUGGGGUAGUGGCUUACCAAGGCUUUGACGGGUAGCCGGCCUGAGAGGGUGACCGGCCACAUUGGGACUGAGAUACGGCCCAGACUCCUACGGGAGGCAACAGGGGGGAAUAUUGCACAAUGGGCGGAAGCCUGAUGCAGAAACGCCGCGUGCGGGAUGAAGGCCUUCGGGUUGUAAACCGCUUUCACCUGUGACGAAGCGUGAGUGACGGUAAUGGGUAAAGAAGCACCGGCUAAAUACGUG
This 468-nucleotide ribosomal RNA is filed under the name uncultured bacterium. RNAcentral describes it as "partial 16S ribosomal RNA". It matches the Rfam family "Bacterial small subunit ribosomal RNA", at positions 28 to 507 of the family's 1533-position model. The record is from RNAcentral.